CAACCUUACCACUUCUUGCAUAUUAUCUUUAAUUUAUAGAUAAAUACAGGUGUUGCAUGGCUGUCUUUAGUUCGUGUUGUGAAAUGUGUGGUUGAUUCCGUCAACGAACGAAAACCUUAUCUUUAAUUUGAUAUACUUAAAGAAAUAUCUUUCGAUAAGAAAGAGUAAUUAGGAUUAAGACAAGUCCUCAUGACCCUUAUGAAGUGGGCUACAGACGUGCUAUAAAAAUUCCUACAAUAGGAUGCAAAGAUGAAAAUCUGAGCUAAUCCCUGAAAAGGAAU
RNAcentral lists this ribosomal RNA (281 nucleotides) under Pneumocystis carinii. RNAcentral describes it as "partial small subunit ribosomal RNA". It matches the Rfam family "Bacterial small subunit ribosomal RNA", at positions 966 to 1286 of the family's 1533-position model. The record is from RNAcentral. Lineage: Eukaryota; Fungi; Ascomycota; Pneumocystomycetes; Pneumocystales; Pneumocystaceae.